UUGCCUUGAGAUGAACCUUCCCGUGCUUUUUAGAACAUAUUAUGGCACCAGUCAGGUGACCAUCGAAACGCAAUACGCCUGCAGAUCUGCUACGCAGACGGCGGGUAUGGCGAUUAUCGCCGACCACGUUUCUCUUUCUUCAAAAGACAAGGACCCGCUGUUUUGGCAGUGUUCUACCCAGUAUGGGCCCGUAGCUCAGGUGGUUAGAGCGCACGCCUGAUAAGCGUGAGGUCGGCAGUUCGAGUCUGCCCGGGCCCACCAUGUUUUGUCCUGACGCUGUCGUGACCUUCGGUCACUGCGCUCCGGACGGGCCGUCCCAUGCGGGACGUGGAGCUCUGCUCCUGUUUGGUGGCUUUCGGUCAGGUAUCGAAACCUGAAUGGGGCUGUAGCUCAGCUGGGAGAGCACCUGCUUUGCAAGCAGGGGGUCAGCGGUUCGAUCCCGCUCAGCUCCACCAAGGUUUUGGUGUUGAGAACUGAGAGGUUGAAUGCCUUGUCUUUGAAGAAAUAAAAGUUUGCGUCUGCCAAAUGGCAGUUCGCCUGUUCUGCAUACAUUGUGAAGAGAAGAUUGAUCUGGAGGCUUCC
Molecule: transfer RNA, 582 nt
Filed under: Sinorhizobium sp.
Lineage: Bacteria; Pseudomonadati; Pseudomonadota; Alphaproteobacteria; Hyphomicrobiales; Rhizobiaceae
Description: partial may contain 16S ribosomal RNA, 16S-23S ribosomal RNA intergenic spacer, and 23S ribosomal RNA
Rfam family: tRNA (bases 185-258)
Source: RNAcentral